This 614-nucleotide ribosomal RNA is filed under the name uncultured bacterium. RNAcentral describes it as "bacterial SSU rRNA". It matches the Rfam family "Bacterial small subunit ribosomal RNA", at positions 60 to 657 of the family's 1533-position model. The record is from RNAcentral.
AGUCGAGCGGACAGAAGGGAGCUUGCUCCCGGAUGUUAGCGGCGGACGGGUGAGUAACACGUGGGUAACCUGCCUGUAAGACUGGGAUAACUCCGGGAAACCGGAGCUAAUACCGGAUAGUUCCUUGAACCGCAUGGUUCAAGGAUGAAAGACGGUUUCGGCUGUCACUUACAGAUGGACCCGCGGCGCAUUAGCUAGUUGGUGAGGUAACGGCUCACCAAGGCGACGAUGCGUAGCCGACCUGAGAGGGUGAUCGGCCACACUGGGACUGAGACACGGCCCAGACUCCUACGGGAGGCAGCAGUAGGGAAUCUUCCGCAAUGGACGAAAGUCUGACGGAGCAACGCCGCGUGAGUGAUGAAGGUUUUCGGAUCGUAAAGCUCUGUUGUUAGGGAAGAACAAGUGCAAGAGUAACUGCUUGCACCUUGACGGUACCUAACCAGAAAGCCACGGCUAACUACGUGCCAGCAGCCGCGGUAAUACGUAGGUGGCAAGCGUUGUCCGGAAUUAUUGGGCGUAAAGGGCUCGCAGGCGGUUUCUUAAGUCUGAUGUGAAAGCCCCCGGCUCAACCGGGGAGGGUCAUUGGAAACUGGGAAACUUGAAUGCAGAAAGAA